GUGAUCGUGCGGCGGGGAGCACGGCUGACCGCGCUUUAUGUCCUCAAGAGCGGGGAGGUGCACGACAUCAAUGAGAUAGGCUCCAUGAUGCGCAUCAGGCGUCGCCCGAGCACUUGGGGAGAGCACUUCUGGUUCCAGGUGCUGCAAGGCGAAGUGAAGCGUGCGAGGGUGGA
Molecule: non-coding RNA, 173 nt
Filed under: Hemiselmis andersenii
Lineage: Eukaryota; Cryptophyceae; Cryptomonadales; Hemiselmidaceae
Source: RNAcentral